RNAcentral lists this ribosomal RNA (450 nucleotides) under uncultured bacterium. Its description in RNAcentral is "partial 16S ribosomal RNA". It matches the Rfam family "Bacterial small subunit ribosomal RNA", at positions 356 to 796 of the family's 1533-position model. The record is from RNAcentral.
UGGGAAUUUUGGACAAUGGGCGCAAGCCUGAUCCAGCCAUGCCGCGUGCGGGAAGAAGGCCUUCGGGUUGUAAACCGCUUUUGUCAGGGAAGAAAUCUUCUGAGUUAAUACCUCGGGAGGAUGACGGUACCUGAAGAAUAAGCACCGGCUAACUACGUGCCAGCAGCCGCGGUAAUACGUAGGGUGCAAGCGUUAAUCGGAAUUACUGGGCGUAAAGCGUGCGCAGGCGGUUUUGUAAGACAGAGGUGAAAUCCCCGGGCUCAACCUGGGAACUGCCUUUGUGACUGCAAGGCUUGAGUGCGGCAGAGGGGGGAUGGAAUUCCGCGUGUAGCAGUGAAAUGCGUAGAUAUGCGGAGGAACACCGAUGGCGAAGGCAAUCCCCUGGGCCUGCACUGACGCUCAUGCACGAAAGCGUGGGGAGCAAAACAGGAUUAGAUACCCUGGUAGUCC